This 223-nucleotide long non-coding RNA is filed under the name Salvia miltiorrhiza (redroot sage). RNAcentral's name for it is "long non-coding RNA (SMIL_LNC012374)". Lineage: Eukaryota; Viridiplantae; Streptophyta; Magnoliopsida; Lamiales; Lamiaceae. The record is from RNAcentral.
GCUCGCCUCCAUUCUCAUUAAUUAGGGCUCAUUGCUUGACAAAGCAGGAGGAGGGAGACAGAACCAGAUCUGCGGCGCCUCUUUCAGAAAUUUGGGUUUCAGGCGGCGGCGAUGUGGCUACCUAGUCAUUAGGCGAUGUGGCUGCCUAGUCAUCAAUUUAUUUUGACAGAUGGAAUGAAUUAUGCCACGUUGGAUCGGAGCUCCAUCGGAGAUCGCCGAAAAA